UCAAGCGUAGCUCUGGAAAAGUAAUGGAUAAAUUAAACUAAAAAAUAAAAAUCUUUUUGGAUUAUUCAUUACAAUAACUUUUUUUUUUCAUUUUCAAAUACAAAAUAGCAAAUAUGAUAAUGAGAGACUCAACUUAACUAUACUACAACAAACUCCGACACCAACUAAAAAAAUCAUUACUACUGAACAUGACUAUAAAGUACAAGACAUCAUAAAAAAAACAGACUCAAAACAUAAAAAAUCUCCUUAAGCAACUCCUGAAUGCAACGGUCCUGACCAGAUGGUCCUGGGGUGAUCAUGCUCAAACUCUGAUAAGUAGUUCCGCACUUGUAUAAGAAAACUAAAACCAAAUAGAGUUAAGGAUUUAGAACACUACGUGAGACAAUAACACUCCCUAUUGGACACAUGCAAGACAUAAUUGUGCAAAAUAGCCUACAUGGCCAAAAGUCAGCUAGAAGUGCAAACUCAACAAAUGUGACCUCUAAGACAUAGAAAAAUUACUUUGCAGAAAUGACUGAUUUUGUAAAAAUGGCCUAUGUUGCCAGAAAAUGGCUAAGCAUUGCAAAUUCAACAGAAUGGACCUUAAAUAGAGAGGUCACCUUGUUGUGAACCUAGGACUCUAAGACAUGGGUCACUAAAAUACUUUUGCGAAAAUAGUCCUAUUUUGCAGAAUGGCCUAUAUGGUCAAAAGCGGCUAGACAUGCAAAUUCGACAAGGACGGACCUUAAAGUAAAUGGACACCUAAUUGUGGAUUGAAGACUCUCCAGACACUUUAAACAAACCACUUUGCAAAAAUAUCCCUAAUUUGCAAAAUGACCGAUGUGGCCAAAAGUGGCUAAACAUGCAAGAUUUGGCUACAACCCUCGACGCCAAGAACUUAAGACUCAUUAAGAAGAUCGAACCCUAUGUGGGUUGCCUACGUAUCCCGCCUCGAAAGACGAGAAUCAGGUAUGUGUAGUCGGGCAGAUUGGAUACAGGCGAGAAAUAAAAUUAACAAAUAAUUUAGAGAAAAUGUAUUCUUUGUCUUUUUUGAAAAAUGAUGAAACAUGUAAACUCUUUUUGGAUUAUUUUUCUUUUUUUAAUUCUUCUUUUUUUUUUGGAAAUUGAUGGAAAAGUGCAAAAUCUUUUGGAUUUUUCAUUUUUUGUCUUUUUCUUAAAACAAAAUGUGAAAGAAAACAUAACUGGGCUCUACUUGCUUUAUUUUUUUACACUUCAUCCCUUUUGUUUUUCUCAUUUACCCUCAAACCUCAUUGGUACGCCAAAUGACCCCUUUUACCCUUGAAGAUUGCAACAUGUAGCACAUUAGCAUGCAUCAGGAUGGUCUUUAUUUUUUGGAGUACACUUGUCAUAGACGGACCCAACUCCUGUGUUGAGUCCCCUAAGUCAAAUGCACGUCAUGAAAACAAACGUUCCUACUAGGGAUCCGGCAUGAGGCUAUGUUAUUCUAGGUUUAUAGCCUAGUGUAUUGUUAUAGACCUGGCUUACCCGAGCGGACAACUCGAGCUGGGGGGGGGGGGGCAGUGUACCGGAAAUACAGAAGCUUCACCGGCUUUGCAACUUGUCUGAAUCUCGUUCUAAAAUUGGGAUAUGACUCUAAUAGAAAAGAAGUCACACGAAAUGUACACUUCCCAGAUGAUUUAGAAGACUCAGAGAGAAAAGGGUUUCGUAACAAUUUAUAUACAGUCCAAGUAAUAUCAAAGCGGUAAAAAGCGACAUUUAGCACAAUAAGCUCAAACACGUAAAAAUCAGAUAAUAAAUAAAAGCCAAUUAUAACAAUUAUUCUAAGCUCGAAUUCUAAACCCUGAACCAAAAGUUCUGGGUUCUUGUCCCCAACAGAGUUGCCAGAGCUGUCACACCUCCUUUUACUACCAUGGAAAAGGUAUAGGGGAGUUUUUUCAUUUAAAGUAACAAUAAUCGAAACAGGAUUAUUUAUUCAAAUUCAGAGUCGCCACUUGGGAUAAUUUAUGGUGUCCCAAGUCACCAAUUUAAAAUUCCGAAUCGAGGAAGUUGACUCUUAUUUAUGGUCUGAGAACAUAGAAAUCCAGGUAAGAAAUUCUGUUAACUCGGGAGAAGGUGUUAGGCAUUCCCAGGUUCCGUGGUUUUAGAACGGUCGCUCAACUAUUUUUAUUAGCCUAAUUAUCUGAUUAAUUACAUAUUUUAUACCUAUUGCAUUUUUCACUUUCUUGUCGCUUUUUAAUGUUUUUUAGGAAAAUUCAUGAUCGUCUUACACUUGUUUGUUUUUUGAAAACAAAUCGUAAACCACACUACAUUAAAUGCACCCGUGGUUCACAAUAUAUUUAUUUUAUUUAACAAUGUUGGAAAGUCGGGUCACAUGAAAUGUACACCCGGAUUUGGGAAUUAUGUUUCACAACUACAUCACGGGAAUAAAUCCCGUAGCUAGAACACUUUAUUUAAUUAACGCGCAUAAAGCAAACUACGAGAAUUCAAUUCUACAUUAAUUAAGAUAAUUCAUAUGAGGGCCAUGGAUCAAGCAAUUCAAUUGUGUAAAUGGCACGCCUCAAUUUCCUUUAAAAGAAAUGCAUUCAAUUAAAUAAACUACGGAUACUCAUCAUUUAAAACUAAAUUGAAAUUACGUAUCACAACCACGCCGUGGGAACUAUACCCAUAGUUGUGAUAAUUUAAUUACGUGCCUAAAGCAAACUACGAGAUUCAUAUAUUCUUAAAACUAAUUCGAUAUUUAAUGACAGUCUGUGGAUUACCACGAAGGUAUUAAAAAUUAAUACAUGCUUUUAACCUUUCUGAUUCAUUGGGCCAAAUAGGAAGCCUGUCACAUUAUUUAGAGGGCGCCAACAAUGAAAGCUGUUGGGCUCGAAAUCCAGCCCAAAAUGAAAGAAACCAUAGACGAAGGCACUCCCAAGCCCGAUUUGGACCAGGCUACCCCAUUUGAAUCGGGUUGGGCCUAAAUAGCUCCCUGCUGGCCCAUAACAAAGGAAACCUUCAUUGAUUCCUAUAGCUUAUUUAUUUUAAUAAAGCAUUGUUGUGUUCCUUAGGCCCAAUGGCAACAAAAUGCCACUUUUAACUAGCUAAUUAAUGAAUAACAAAUUUACAAAAACAAACCCAAAAGGCAAUGAGUCAGUGAAAAGGUAUUGCACAGAUUGAAGCAUGGCAAAAUAACAAGUGAAGCAUGUGACUAACUUCAUAACAUCUCCCUUUUAUAUAGCAACACUCAUGCAUUAAUCAGAUAGCAAGAAAUAAACUUGAAUUAUUACAUUACCCAAUGAAUUUCUAUUCAAACAAAUUCAAACUUGAUUAGCAUACACUUAAUCAUUUUGGUAUCAUACUACUUAAGUCUUAACAGUUUAACAAUAUUACAGCUAAAGUAAAGUAAGCAAAACAUGAUCUUAUGACUAGCAGGACAUCAAUUUAAUCAAGAGCUUUAAAUCAAAUCCUUGAGAAAUAAAACUCAUAUGCUCAUGUAACAUCCCAGAAUAUCACGUGCAGUUCAUAUUUGGACAUCAUCCUUUAAUAAUCAUGUAAUCAAGCUAAGCUUCAAAAAUCCUUACAGAAUUUAAUCCUACAUAAAAUGGGAUAAUUACUCAUUUAAGGCUAAAGUCUAGCUUGUUAAAAUUAGAUAGAAAACAGAGUAAAGACAAAAACAAAAUUAGAAUCUAGAAGUCAAUCCACAUAUUCACAUGACAUUUGAGAAUGAGGCAACAAAUGUUCAAAGGCUUCAUGUAUACGAUUCAAUAGCCAAGAAGAUGUUCAACAUACAUACCUGUUACAGCAAAAUCAACCAAAAAUAGAAAUAAAUUUCUGAAAAUGAGACGGUGCUGCAGCCAAAACAGAAGCAACCAGUGUGAUUCAAAAUGAACUUCAGCUUUUAACCCAGGUAUCUAAAAAUAAGAACUGAUGCCUUCCUUUCUAUGAAUUCAGUGUAUUUAUCAUAAGAAUUAAACUUUUGAGGGGAUUCUGUAGCUUCAAUAUCUCAGCCAUUUUCUUUUUGGUGUCCUCAAUCUCUCCCCUAGACAUGAGGAAAAUAAGCCUCUUAUAGCAAGGCUUUAGGGCAGCAUAACCUGAGUUUUUAAAUUUACUUUUAACCCUCAAACUCUUUUUUAUUUUAC
RNAcentral lists this long non-coding RNA (4082 nucleotides) under Nicotiana tabacum (common tobacco). RNAcentral describes it as "long non-coding RNA (NTAB_LNC001816)". The record is from RNAcentral. Lineage: Eukaryota; Viridiplantae; Streptophyta; Magnoliopsida; Solanales; Solanaceae.